CACACAUAAGAUAUAAAAGAACAAGAAUCUCAAAUAGAAGAAAUAAAGGUCCCAAAUCAAUUACAUUAUUCGCCCUAAAAUAAAUUUAGCUAAACAUAUUAAUGAAAGAAAAGCAAGAUAAAUUCAUGGAAGACAUCACCCAAUUUAUUGACGGAAUGUGAUAAAAGUUUUGGCAACGUGAAUAAUCCGACUUUGUGUAACUGCCUCCUCAAUGUUUUUCCUCCCAACCGGCAAUUUGUGCAUGUAAUUUUCAGCAGCCAGCAACUUAAUCUUCCACCCAGAAGCCAAAAUUUUUGUGUGUGGAGAUGAAUUUCAGCAACCCCAGCCUUAUUAAUUCAACUGUCUUCUUUGCUUCGGUUUCCGUGCAUAUAUAAAUAACAUCUAGCAGCCGCUAAUUAACUCCAAACAAAAAGGGACUCCCUGUUCUGCCGCAGAAAUUGAUUUUCCCCAGAAAACUCUCUCCC
This 464-nucleotide long non-coding RNA is filed under the name Olea europaea subsp. europaea. The record is from RNAcentral. Lineage: Eukaryota; Viridiplantae; Streptophyta; Magnoliopsida; Lamiales; Oleaceae.